GUGAAUCAUCAAAUUUUUGAACGCAAGUUGCACUCUCCGGUUUUCCGGGAGAGUAUGCCUGUUUGAGGGUCAGCCUAAAAAAAAUCGACAUUGUUGCUGUUAUUUAAUGGUGACUUUCGUCGGAGAUUGGGUUAUCUUAAACCUUUUUUUUUUGGUUUAGCCGAUUUAAAUUUUUUUUUCACGAUUCCUUAAACGUUUCUAGGUUUUUUAUUUUUUUUCCGUUUAAGUUUUAUCGU
This 236-nucleotide unclassified non-coding RNA is filed under the name Glomeraceae sp. RNAcentral describes it as "partial contains 5.8S ribosomal RNA and internal transcribed spacer 2". The stretch from base 1 to 72 matches the Rfam family "5.8S ribosomal RNA", at positions 84 to 154 of the family's 154-position model. The record is from RNAcentral. Lineage: Eukaryota; Fungi; Glomeromycota; Glomeromycetes; Glomerales; Glomeraceae.